GAUGAACGCUAGCUAUAGGCUUAACACAUGCAAGUCGAGGGACCGGCGCACGGGUGAGUAACGCGUAUCCAACCUACCCAUACCUAAGGGAUAACCCAGCGAAAUUGGGACAAAUACCUUAUGGUUAUGGCUGGGGAUGCGUCGGAUUAGCUUGUUGGCUGGGUAACGGCCAACCAAGGCAACGAUCAGUAGGGGUUCUGAGAGGAAGGUCCCCCACAUCGGAACCACGACACGGUCCAAACUCGUACGGGAGGCAGCAGUGAGGAAUAUUGGUCAAUGGACUCAAGUCGGAAACAGCCAAGUAGCGUGCAGAGUGGCGGCGUAGGGGUUGUAAGCUGCUUUUAUAUGGGGAUAGGUACCAUAUGAAUAAGGACCGGCUAAUUCCGUGCCAGCAGCCGCGGUAAUUC
Molecule: ribosomal RNA, 407 nt
Filed under: uncultured bacterium
Lineage: Bacteria
Description: partial 16S ribosomal RNA
Rfam family: Bacterial small subunit ribosomal RNA
Source: RNAcentral